GACAGAGGGUGCAAACGUUGUUCGGAAUUACUGGGCGUAAAGCGAGUGUAGGCGGUGUGGUAAGUCGGAUGUGAAAGCCCCGGGCUCAACCCGGGAAGUGCACUCGAUACUGCCACGCUAGAGUGUCGGAGAGGUUGGUGGAAUUCUCGGUGUAGAGGUGAAAUUCGUAGAUAUCGAGAGGAACACCGGUGGCGAAGGCGGCCAACUGGACGAAUACUGACGCUGAGACUCGAAAGCGUGGGGAGCAAACAGG
This 253-nucleotide ribosomal RNA is filed under the name uncultured bacterium. RNAcentral's name for it is "partial 16S ribosomal RNA". It matches the Rfam family "Bacterial small subunit ribosomal RNA", at positions 524 to 776 of the family's 1533-position model. The record is from RNAcentral.